Long non-coding RNA from Cylas formicarius (sweet potato weevil), 398 nucleotides. RefSeq lists it as uncharacterized. The transcript is spliced from 3 exons. NCBI's taxonomy places the organism in Eukaryota, Metazoa, Arthropoda, Insecta, Coleoptera, Brentidae. The record is from RefSeq and is a predicted model, not a curated record.
UUCAUUCGGCGUUUCGACAAGAAGGGAAGACCAGGUCUAGUGUAAGGAAGUAUUUUCAGCCAGAACAAGGCGUUAAAAACGCCGCAGUGCACUCCUAAGACUAUAAAAAACUGCCAAGAGGUCUAUCAUGUUGGGGUGUCGUAGAUAGCAGACGAAAGGAUCGCAACGGGAAAGUUUUCUCGAAAACCCCACGAAUUUUCGAAGAUCGCAUGAAGAAUGUAUUUUCACUAAACCGAAGAAAUAUUGAACAGGAUAUGGAGAAACCUGAAGAAAACCUACACAGGCAUCAAAGACAAUAUAGGGAAAACUGGAAGGGGUAGAAUUUACUAGGAAUAUUAUCACCAGAUUGAUGAAAUACAUAGGUAGGACAAAACAGUUAACCUCCCUAACCCAAUACC